Ictidomys tridecemlineatus (thirteen-lined ground squirrel) is the source of this 72-nucleotide non-coding RNA. The record is from Rfam. Lineage: Eukaryota; Metazoa; Chordata; Mammalia; Rodentia; Sciuridae.
UGCGGUGGGGCUCAGUGGUAGAGCACUCACCUAGCACGCGUGAGGCCCUGGGUUCGAUCCUCGGCACCACAU